UACGUAGGGUGCGAGCGUUAAUCGGAAUUACUGGGCGUAAAGCGCGCGCAGGCGGCACUUCAAGUAAGGUGUGAAAUCUCCCUGCUCAACGGGGAGGGUGCACUUUAGACUGAGGAGCUAGAGGACGGUAGAGGGGGGUGGAAUUGCUGGUGUAGCGGUGAAAUGCGUAGAGAUCAGCAGGAACACCCGUGGCGAAGGCGGCCCCCUGGGCCGUACCUGACGCUGAGGCGCGAAGGCUAGGGGAGCGAACGGG
This 253-nucleotide ribosomal RNA is filed under the name uncultured bacterium. Its description in RNAcentral is "partial 16S ribosomal RNA". It matches the Rfam family "Bacterial small subunit ribosomal RNA", at positions 524 to 776 of the family's 1533-position model. The record is from RNAcentral.